RNAcentral lists this transfer RNA (72 nucleotides) under Sus scrofa (pig). It matches the Rfam family "tRNA". From Rfam's summary of the family: Transfer RNA (tRNA) molecules are approximately 80 nucleotides in length. Lineage: Eukaryota; Metazoa; Chordata; Mammalia; Artiodactyla; Suidae. The record is from Rfam by way of RNAcentral.
UCCCUGGUGGUCUAAUAGUUAGGACUUUGUGCUUUCACUGUUGCGGCCCAGGUUCAAUCCCUGGUCUGGGAA